UUCCGGUUGAUCCUGCCGGACCUGACUGCUAUCGGAUUGAUACUAAGCCAUGCGAGUCUUUGUAGUAAUACAAGGCAUACGGCUCAGUAACGCGUAGUCAACCUACCCUAUGGACAAGAAUAAUCUCGGGAAACUGAGCAUAAUUCUUGAUAGAUCAUAAUGCCUGGAAUGGUUUAUGGUUAAAAUGAUUCGUCGCCAUAGGAUGGGACUGCGGCCUAUCAGCUUGUUGGUGAGGUAAUGGCCCACCAAGGCGAUUACAGGUACGGGCUCUGAGAGGAGAAGCCCGGAGAUGGGUACUGAGACAAGGACCCAGGCCCUAUGGGGCGCAGCAGGCGAGAAAACUUUGCAAUGUGCGAAAGCACGACAAGGUUAGUCCGAGUGAUUUCUGCUAAAGAGAUCUUUUGCUAGUUAUAAAACCACUAGUGAAUAAGGGGUGGGCAAGUUCUGGUGUCAGCCGCCGCGGUAAAACCAGCACCUCAAGUGGUCAGGAUGAUUAUUGGGCCUAAAGCAUCCGUAGCCGGCUCUGUAAGUUUUCGGUUAAAUCUAUGCGCUCAACGUAUGGGCUGCCGAAAAUACUGCAGAGAUAGGGAGUGGGAGAGGUAGACGGUACUCGGUAGGAAGGGGUAAAAUCCUUUGAUCUAUCGAUGACCACCUGUGGCGAAGGCGGUCUACCAGAACACGUUCGACGGUGAGGGAUGAAAGCUGGGGGAGCAAACCGGAUUAGAUACCCGGGUAGUCCCAGCUGUAAACGAUGCAGACUCGAUGAUGCAUUGGCAUAUAGCCAGUGCAGUGUCGCAGGGAAGCCGUUAAGUCUGCCGCCUGGGAAGUACGUACGCAAGUAUGAAACUUAAAGGAAUUGGCGGGGGAGCACCACAAGGGGUGAAGCCUGCGGUUCAAUUGGAAUCAACGCCGGA
RNAcentral lists this ribosomal RNA (914 nucleotides) under uncultured archaeon. Its description in RNAcentral is "bacterial SSU rRNA". It matches the Rfam family "Archaeal small subunit ribosomal RNA", at positions 1 to 922 of the family's 1478-position model. The record is from RNAcentral.